RNAcentral lists this ribosomal RNA (464 nucleotides) under uncultured bacterium. RNAcentral's name for it is "partial 16S ribosomal RNA". It matches the Rfam family "Bacterial small subunit ribosomal RNA", at positions 28 to 507 of the family's 1533-position model. The record is from RNAcentral.
GACGAACGCUGGCGGCGUGCUUAACACAUGCAAGUCGAACGGAAAGGCCCUGCUUGCAGGGUACUCGAGUGGCGAACGGGUGAGUAACACGUGGGUGAUCUGCCCUGCACUUCGGGAUAAGCCUGGGAAACUGGGUCUAAUACCGGAUAGGAGCCAUUUUUAGUGUGAUGGUUGGAAAGUUUUUUCGGUGUAGGAUGAGCUCGCGGCCUAUCAGCUUGUUGGUGGGGUAAUGGCCUACCAAGGCGGCGACGGGUAGCCGGCCUGAGAGGGUGGACGGCCACAUUGGGACUGAGAUACGGCCCAGACUCCUACGGGAGGCAGCAGUGGGGAAUAUUGCACAAUGGGCGCAAGCCUGAUGCAGCGACGCCGCGUGGGGGAUGACGGCCUUCGGGUUGUAAACUCCUUUCGCUAGGGACGAGGCUUUUGUGACGGUACCUAGAUAAGAAGCACCGGCUAACUACGUG